GCUGUAUUGGGAUUGUGCCACAGAGCAUUAUGGGGGUUCUGUGUGUUGAGAGGCUUGGUGACAUUGUUGGAUCGAGAUUAAGAGUUAUAGUUGAGCAUUUUGGGGAUAUUAUUCAAUUCAAAUUCGUUUUUUCAAGUUACAGGAGACGGAGGAGCCAAGUCCCCUCCUGUUCCCUGAUUAAGCAGUGAUGACCACUCCACUCCACUACCAUCAACUUUCUCCUGACAUGAACUGAAGCCACGACUUCUCAUGUGCCCACACAUCCACUGGCACCUUGAGUGUUUCCCUUCCAAGCACUUAAAAUCCUGUCCAGCACWGGUCAAGCCUCUGAACAUCUCAACUCAUGCCUCAUAACCUCAUUCAAUCACUGCUGUGAUCCCUUUCCAACACUGCCUUUAUUACGGACAGAAAUACUCAUCAGUUURAUCAGCUGUCCYGGUGACUGGCCUCAGACGAUCCRGCAGGUGAGGAAGAAGGAUGUGGAGGUUCUGGGCUGGCGGGGUUACACGUGGUCUGCGGUUGUGAGGCCGGUUGGAC
Salvelinus sp. IW2-2015 is the source of this 537-nucleotide long non-coding RNA. RefSeq lists it as uncharacterized. The record is from RefSeq and is a predicted model, not a curated record. NCBI's taxonomy places the organism in Eukaryota, Metazoa, Chordata, Actinopteri, Salmoniformes, Salmonidae.